GUGUGUGUGUGUGUUUAGCUAGUUGUUGUAUUUACCUAGUUGUAGUUUUAUAGGGCCUGGGCUUGACGUUCGUGUGGUCCUGUCUCUGUAUCUACAUUUAUCCAACUUUUCCUUGAAGCUUUGCACACUCCUUUCUGAUACUACAUCCUUACUUAGUCUGUUCCAAACCUCUAUAUUUCUUUGCGGGAAGCUAUAUUUCUUUAUGUCUCUCAAGCAUCUUCCCUUCCUCAAUUUUUUACUGUGUCCUCUUGUGUUCCUGGUGGUAAUUUCUUCUUUUAGUAGUAACUCCUUGUUGUCUACUUCUUCCAUUUUGCUCAAUAAUUUGUAGAUUUCUAUUAGGUCUCCCAUUUCUCUUCUUUGUUCUAGUGUUGGUAAGUCCAUUUCCUUUAGUCUCUCCUCGUAUGUCAAUCCCUGGAACCAUUUUUGUUGCCAUCUUUUGUAUUCUUUCUAGUUUCUUGAUGUGUUUCUUUUUAUGGGGAGACCACACUGCCUCUGCAUGUGUGUGUGUGUGUGUGUGUGUAAGAUUGACUGACUGAUGAAUGAAUAACUGCGAUUAAGGUUGGUAUUGCAAGACACUUUCCCUUCUCACAUCAGCUACUUCUAAAGGUCAAAGGGGGAUAUCAGUCAGGUUCUAAUGAGUGUUUUUCAGGCUCAUGGUACAGAAGAAGGGUUAAACUACCACCAGGGUCAUCAAACUACUCCUGGAAAUGCCCACAACUCCUGCGAAAGCCUUGUCAAAUAGGUGUUAUAAUACGACCCUAAGUAAAUAACUUCCUGAUGGAGUGGAUGAUUGACUUGGCAUCUUGUAGCCUUACUCUCAGCUAUUUCAAGUUCCCGACUGAUGUACUAACACCCUCAGAUUGGCUACAGUGAAGGUCGUGGCAGAGAGUGUACUCAAACUCCUACUGUGAGCUACUCCUGAUGCCUGCGCCCUCACCACCCCUGUGAAGGACGCCCAGCUGACCCAACCCUCCUCGUGUGCCCCUGAGAGCUCCCUGCAGCACAGCGAGUCUCUUCUUGGACGGCUCAGAGGCACAGAAGAUGUAGCCAGACUUGCCGGCCAAACCCGAGGGUGUGUGUUGAUGCUGGGACCAAGAAGAAGAAGAG
Long non-coding RNA from Eriocheir sinensis (Chinese mitten crab), 1107 nucleotides. RefSeq lists it as uncharacterized. The record is from RefSeq and is a predicted model, not a curated record. NCBI's taxonomy places the organism in Eukaryota, Metazoa, Arthropoda, Malacostraca, Decapoda, Varunidae. The transcript has 3 exons.